RNAcentral lists this ribosomal RNA (314 nucleotides) under uncultured bacterium. RNAcentral describes it as "partial 16S ribosomal RNA". It matches the Rfam family "Bacterial small subunit ribosomal RNA", at positions 499 to 807 of the family's 1533-position model. The record is from RNAcentral.
UUAUAAGAGACAGCAGUAGCCGCGGUAAUACGAAGGGUGCAAGCGUUACUCGGAAUUACUGGGCGUAAAGCGUGCGUAGGUGGUGGUUUAAGUCCGUUGUGAAAGCCCUGGGCUCAACCUGGGAAUUGCAGUGGAUACUGGGUCACUAGAGUGUGGUAGAGGAUAGUGGAAUUUCCGGUGUAGCAGUGAAAUGCGUAGAGAUCGGAAGGAACAUCUGUGGCGAAGGCGACUAUCUGGGCCAACACUGACACUGAGGCACGAAAGCGUGGGGAGCAAACAGGAUUAGAUACCCCAGUAGUCCCUGUCUCUUAUAC